Molecule: ribosomal RNA, 253 nt
Filed under: uncultured bacterium
Lineage: Bacteria
Description: partial 16S ribosomal RNA
Rfam family: Bacterial small subunit ribosomal RNA
Source: RNAcentral
UACGGAGGGUGCAAGCGUUAUCCGGAUUUACUGGGUUUAAAGGGUGCGUAGGUGGGUAGGUAAGUCAGUGGUGAAAUCUUCGGGCUUAACCCGGAAACUGCCAUUGAUACUAUUUAUCUUGAAUACUCUGGAGGUAAGCGGAAUAUGUCAUGUAGCGGUGAAAUGCUUAGAUAUGACAUAGAACACCAAUUGCGAAGGCAGCUUACUACAUAGUUAUUGACACUGAGGCACGAAAGCGUGGGGAUCAAACAGG